GCACUCAUGGCUCAGUUGGUAGAGCGCGUCACUAGUAAUGACGAGGUCCAGAGUUCGACUCUCUGUGGGUGCA
RNAcentral lists this transfer RNA (73 nucleotides) under Coccidioides posadasii C735 delta SOWgp. RNAcentral describes it as "tRNA-Thr (AGT) (tRNA-Thr-AGT-3-1)". It matches the Rfam family "tRNA". From Rfam's summary of the family: Transfer RNA (tRNA) molecules are approximately 80 nucleotides in length. Their secondary structure includes four short double-helical elements and three loops (D, anti-codon, and T loops). Lineage: Eukaryota; Fungi; Ascomycota; Eurotiomycetes; Onygenales; Onygenaceae. The record is from RNAcentral. RNAcentral also lists the same sequence under 13 other names.